RNAcentral lists this ribosomal RNA (244 nucleotides) under uncultured Staphylococcus sp. RNAcentral's name for it is "partial 16S ribosomal RNA". It matches the Rfam family "Bacterial small subunit ribosomal RNA", at positions 96 to 334 of the family's 1533-position model. The record is from RNAcentral. Lineage: Bacteria; Bacillati; Bacillota; Bacilli; Caryophanales; Staphylococcaceae.
CGGCGGACGGGUGAGUAACACGUGGAUAACCUACCUAUAAGACUGGGAUAACUUCGGGAAACCGGGGCUAAUACCGGAUAAUAUAUUGAACCGCAUGGUUUAAUAGUGAAAGACGGUUUUGCUGUCACUUAUAGAUGGAUCCGCGCCGCAUUAGCUAGUUGGUAAGGUAACGGCUUACCAAGGCAACGAUGCGUAGCCGACCUGAGAGGGUGAUCGGCCACACUGGAACUGAGACACGGUCCAG